Molecule: long non-coding RNA, 990 nt
Organism: Homo sapiens (human)
Lineage: Eukaryota; Metazoa; Chordata; Mammalia; Primates; Hominidae
Exons: 3
Source: RefSeq, a predicted model, not a curated record
ACCCUCAAAAGCCUGAAGCAAUGACAAAGGCUGUUCAAAGUGCUGAGGAACCAAGGAAAUGUACAUAUUUGGCUUAAUUCAUAAAACUGUCAUUGAAGGCCAGCUAAGAAGACGAAGAUUUUUGUCCAGGAUCUGCAGCUGUGAGACCACAGAAAGUUUGUUGACUCAUGACCUAGAUGACUGCAAGAGCCUACAAUGAAGUCCCUCUGCAAACAGAAGCAAAAGGCACAGUCUGCUCCUCCUAAAGCAAGUCCACAUCUCUACUCCAGAAAAGAGCAAACUAUUUACAACUAUUUAAAUACAGCCUUUUCAUCUUAAAAAUUACAUUAAGUUUCUGGAAUUCUGAUAUACCCAAUUCCAAUUCUGGAGGCUGGCAAGUUCAAGAUCAAGGUGCCAGAAGAUUUGGUGUUUGGUGAGAACCCACUUUCUGGUUCCUAGAAAUAACAAUUUCUCCCUGAGUCCUCACAUAGUAGUGGGGAUGAAGAAGUUCUUUGGGAUCUCUUUUAUAAGGGCACUAAUCCCUUUUAUAAGGGCUCCACCUUAAUGAUCUAGUCACUUCCCAGACGCCCCACUUCCAAAUACCAUCACAUUGGGGAUUAGGUUUCAACAUACAAAUUUUAGGAGGACACAGACAUUCAGACUGUAGCAAUCCCUUGUGCCCAUUUGUUUUUCCUUUAGGAUGGUCAUUUUCUGCUGCUAUGGCCCAGUUUGUGCCUUCAAGGACUGACUGUGUAAAAAAGAGCCCAGAAACUCUUUGAACUGACUUACAGUAGCUUCUUCAGCAGUCAGCUGUAACGAUGGCUGGAGCACCUGGUACCUGAGUGAGGGCCAAGAAUGGGCUCUGCAUGUGCCCUCCCUCAACAAUUGCCCACCACCCAUUCUCACACAAAUGCAGUGGGGGAUGAACCUGUAGGGAUGGGUAAUCAGCCUGAAAGGAACAAUUUUGCAUAUGUGUAAAAUCUGAAAAAAUAAAUUAUUAUUCAUGGGAAA